GCACAGUGGGUGGAAGGAAGCCUGGGAGCUGCCUCCACGCCAGGACGAUAAGCUCUCACUGAAACUGAUGUAGAAGUGACCAAAACACAUAGAUGUUUCCCCACUAAACUCAGACCAAAUGUGUCUCCCACCUAACUUCCUCUUAGCUGAAUCCCCAAGUGCCCACAGCCACCUCGAUGCUACCUAACACAGCGGCAUCUUAAACAGUGCAAUUAAGAUGUCUUACUUUCAAAAUAUAUGUAUCUUACUUUUGCAAGCACAUUGCUGAGGCCUCUCCCAGGGCCCCAGAAGCGAGUGACUUCUGCAAGCAAGGAGCUUUCCCUUCAGGGUGAUUCUGUCCCUGCCUAGAGGGCACAGGCCGUGAAGGUGAGGGGUUGUAGCAAUGGUUGAGACAGCUACAAAGUUGACGAUCGUGUAGUGCCUACCAGGGGAAAUGUUACUUGUGUCUUCAGUCAUUUAAUCCUCUUAACGACCCCAAGAUGUUGGUACUAAGAAAAUCUUCAUUUUUACAGAUAGGGAGACUGAGUCAUAGAGAGGCUAGGCCACUUGCCCGGGGUCACGCAGGUAGUUAGCGCCGGACGGGGGAUUGGAACCCAGGCAGUCUGGCUCACCCUCGCACCUAGUACAGGAAGUAGUCUCUCCACAGUGUAGCCCACAGUUUCCACUGCCUCCCCAGGAUGCUGCCGUCCCACCUGUAACUUUCUGACAGUAUAUAUUUUACUUAUUUGUCUAUUUUCUGUCCCUUGUUACUAAAAUACUGACUCUCUGAGAACAAAGCUGUUUAUUUGGCUCACCGCUGUAUCCCUGUACCUGGAGAAGAGCUCAGCAUGCAAUAGCUAUGUAGGCCAUGAUUUGCUCAGCAUAUCUCUUCCUAAAUUCCAAGACAGGCUUCUUGCUCUGUUCAGUCAAGACUGCCAACCCAGGAAACAUUUUCGAAAGAUCACAGUCAACGUCAUUGCCAAAAGAAGAAGUUCUUGGCACGCAAAGAACCGGGUUCAAUAUGAGAUGCCAGAUGGUGAUUUCAACUUCAGCUGAAUUCCUGCUGGAAAAAACUGUUUGAACUGCAGAUGAGAAAAGAUGCUAUGACAAAUUUCCAAGUGUUAGGAACUUCAGAGGGAAAUGGCAAGUGUUGAUACACCCCCCCCCACCCACACCCCAUCCCUCCAGCCACACGCACACAUACCAUAGAACUACUUACUACCUGCAUCUGGUAGUUAAGAUUCCCACAAAGAUGCCUCUGUUUUUUAAGAAGAUUAAGCCAUGUCUUGAUUUUUACUGAUAUUAAAGUAUAUUAACUGAGUCCAUUGAAAGCAAA
Long non-coding RNA from Neofelis nebulosa (Clouded leopard), 1315 nucleotides. RefSeq lists it as uncharacterized. NCBI's taxonomy places the organism in Eukaryota, Metazoa, Chordata, Mammalia, Carnivora, Felidae. The transcript has 2 exons. The record is from RefSeq and is a predicted model, not a curated record.